AAAAUUCCAGGGCUCUAUAGAGUAAAACUCUUUCUUAUUCCAGGACUGCAAUCCGAACGGGAAAGCUUUGAGCAGGGAAAGACGAAUAACAAACACUUUGGGAUGCCUGCUGAAAAACAUGGUGAACAGAUUGAAGGGUGAAUUGAAACCAUGGAUGCAGAGCAACUUAGAUAGUGUGGUGACCAAGAUGGAGAAUUUCGUUGCUGAUUAUUAUAAGAACAUUGAAGACUUCCUAUUCUAAGUCAACUUCAAAUUUUUAUAACCCAUCAAUUUAUUAGCUAGACAAUAGUAGGAUUAAUCUUGUAAUGAAUACAUACAUUUUUAUUAUCCUAGCUAGUUGGUCACUAUAUCAGAUAUCAUAGUUAUGAUACAAAUUUUGUUUAGUUGGAUCUGAGUUUGUAUUGUUUGUUAUUAUGGUUAUUUUUAAUGGAAUUUGACUUUGUUAUAAGUUGUUCAGUAAAAUUAUUUAUUUAGUCCUGAUUAAAAAUUUUAAAUAGCAAAAAAAAAAAAU
This is a long non-coding RNA of Lycium barbarum (goji berry), 511 nucleotides long. RefSeq lists it as uncharacterized. The transcript is spliced from 3 exons. NCBI's taxonomy places the organism in Eukaryota, Viridiplantae, Streptophyta, Magnoliopsida, Solanales, Solanaceae. The record is from RefSeq and is a predicted model, not a curated record.